This 253-nucleotide ribosomal RNA is filed under the name uncultured bacterium. Its description in RNAcentral is "partial 16S ribosomal RNA". It matches the Rfam family "Bacterial small subunit ribosomal RNA", at positions 524 to 776 of the family's 1533-position model. The record is from RNAcentral.
GACAGAGGGGGCAAGCGUUGUCCGGAAUUAUUGGGCGUAAAGAGCUCGUAGGCGGUCUGUCGCGUCUGCUGUGAAAUCUCAGGGCUUAACCCUGAGCUUGCAGUGGGUACGGGCAGACUAGAGUGCGGUAGGGGAGACUGGAAUUCCUGGUGUAGCGGUGAAAUGCGCAGAUAUCAGGAGGAACACCGGUGGCGAAGGCGGGUCUCUGGGCCGUAACUGACGCUGAGGAGCGAAAGCAUGGGGAGCGAACAGG